Molecule: long non-coding RNA, 1575 nt
Organism: Canis lupus familiaris (dog)
Lineage: Eukaryota; Metazoa; Chordata; Mammalia; Carnivora; Canidae
Exons: 7
Source: RefSeq, a predicted model, not a curated record
CCUUCCAGGCCUCGGCCCUCAGCCCGUCCGCCUGCGCUGUCGGUCUUCGCGGCGGCAGCCCGCCUUCUCCCGCUGACUCGUCUGUGAGGAGACCUGACUGGGUCUCACCGUCCAUCGGGACAAGAGGGACACGGGAAGUCCUGCGUGGAGCGCGUCAGGCCCGGCCCUACUUAGCUGCCUCAGGCUGCCGGGAAGGCCGGCUCUGCUUUGGCUCCACUCCAGACGUGACCGUGCUUUCAGUCACGGCUCCACGGGACUCGUUGGAAGGAGGCCUGAGGAACACGCGGCUGUUGGCGGGGUAAAGCUCCAUCCGGGCGAUUUGGAGCUCCCCACUGCCCCUCCCCCUCGCCCGGGCCUUGGCCUAUAGGCCCCGCCCCCUAGUGUCCCCACCGGGAAAGCACUUUGAAGGGCCAAGUGUCGCGGCAGGCGCAGGUGGCCGACCGGGCUUAGGUCCUCUAUAUAGACCUUUGGGAUUCUGGAAGGUGCUCAGAAGACCUACCCAGCAAAGACAAGCCAUCGAAUUCUUGGUGACAAGAAAUGGGAUCUUGAAGCUGAGUGCUAAUGGCUUUGAAGAACCAGUUGCACAGACCAGGCAUUCAUGGGACCCUUUGAACUCACUCUUCAUCUAGUUUUUACCAAGGCCAUGGGUUUUAUCAGCCGUUAUGUGCACUUGCUUAAUUCUUCAAAACACUUAAUGUCAUGACUACCUUGGAUCAAUAUUUUCUGGCAGUCCCAUUUCACUAAUCUCAAAACUUGUCAAAAGCUGAUCACUUCUAGAAAAAUUGAGCUACUUGUGCCUAAGAACUGCUACCUAAACGCAUUCUCUUCCUGAUGGGUUUGAAUAAAAGAAAACUGCUCUCUUCAAUUCCUCAUCAGAAGACCACUGCUGACUAAUCUGAUGAAAGCAGGAAGUCUAUAGAGGAAAGCUGAUUGGAAAGAUAACCUUCAAAUCACCUGAAAAUCUAUGAAGUCAGACUGAGAUUUGAAGAGAGACCACCUGGAAUGCUACAGUGAGAAGAGUUCGCGCUUCUAUCAAGGAAAUUUUUGGAUCUGAAAGGGAGUGCUAUUAAUAAUUACUCUUGGGUCACAGAUCCUUUAUUGGCCUGAAGGAAGUAUCUUUUUCUUAAACUAGCAUUUCCUAUAUUGAUGACUACCUUAAUACAACAGACCAUUCAUUUAUCUGGAAUUCAAACCACUCUGAUGAGAGACAGAAUGUUAGAAAUUCCAAUUAAAUGCACUGCUGCACUCUAUUCCUGCAUUUGAGAAGCUGGGAACGAAAACCAGAGGCUGUGACCUAAAAGAUGCUUUGAUUGAUAAGGCAUGGCCUUUCCUCUAAUUUUUAAACAUGUAACUGGAAUGGAAAUACACUGUAAUUGUAAUCAGUUUGUGCUUGAGAAAUGAAACAUACUUGGAGGUAAAUGUCAUUUAAACAGAUUUUUUUUUCAGUGAGAGCAUUUGUAUAUUUAGAAUUUUUCAAGUUAUAUGAAGAUAAUGCACCAUCUAUUUUUGCUUUAAGCCAUGUGUUUAAAGUCUUUAAUAAAAGUUUCCAUCAAUGGAAAACCAGGUUAGCGGAAC